CUCACGGUUACAGCUCUCGCAGCUCUCGCGCUUGACCCCGGCAACGGACAUUCCAUGCCCUGAUCGCUGAAGGGUAGUCUUGCUGUGGCGAGCAGCAACCCCGAGCUUAGUCCCGAGCCCCGUGCUUCGAGCCCCUCUCUUGCGCAGCCUGUCUUCUGUGACUCGUCCGUGCAGGACGCCCUUGCUCGACGGUCGAGUUCCGAGACUGCGCUUCGAUUCACGUCGGCGAUUUCGACACCAGCAGACUUCUCUGAAGGGCGCACCCUAGGCACCGGCCACCACGUGACCCCGAGUUCCUAAGCGAGUCUCGAAAGGCAAGCCGCGUCCCAGUAGCAAUCAUGGGGGACCCAUCGCAGUUCAGCAGUGCCACUUCACUGAUGUCUGGGAUGUCUCAGAUGCAAUCAAGUGGCUUCGAAUCAGGUAUCUCAGAUAAGUAUCUGCGAAGUGUCCACAGUUGCACUUUUUUUAUCAAAGCGCCCACGUAAAGUUACCCGGAGCUCUAGCUCCCUGGUCUAUAACAUUCAAUGAUUUAAAAUGCAGUCAUAGGCGUCACCGUUGCUGACAAUCGAACUGUUUCAUCGGGCAGAUUUAUUAGCGUAUGUCCGUAUUGCAAUAAAAACGAUUCGCUAAUACUGAAUCGCUCCAGCGCCUCGCGGCCAUGUAGACAUUUAUGACAGCUAUAAACUAACAUAACUUCAAGAGAACUUGGACGGCCAUAGUUUCAGAUGGGGAACACGUAACCCAGCCUCUCUGAAAUGUUCAGCGCUUGAAUACUACUGAGUGUGCCACGGAAAACAUGCCAAAUUUGGCGUUUUUCGUACCGGAACACAGCCAAAUAUAAAUAUCCGCCGUUGUCGCCCGACUUAUAUGACCCGGCAAGACCUCCGAGAUCCGGCGACGCCCGCUGCGCCCUGAACAUCUCGGAGGCCAUCGGGAACCGGUAUUGCCUGCUUGAUCCAAUUUCAACAUACUUUCAAACAAUUACUAGA
Dermacentor albipictus is the source of this 989-nucleotide long non-coding RNA. RefSeq lists it as uncharacterized. Lineage: Eukaryota; Metazoa; Arthropoda; Arachnida; Ixodida; Ixodidae. The record is from RefSeq and is a predicted model, not a curated record.